CAGUAGUGUAUAUCAAAAUUGUUGCGGUUAAAAAGCUCGUAGUUGGAUUACAAAAGUCAGGCAUUGGUCAAGUACUAUCUUGGUCAAUGUCGGGCUUUUUUAUCGCAAGAACCAUCCGUGCAUUUAACCGUGUGCGGGUGACCACUUGCGGAGCGUGCCUUGAAUAAAGCACAGUGCUCAAAGCAAGCGUAACGCUCGAAUGUUUAAGCAUGGAACGAAUACCUCUGACAAGGUUCAGUUGUUGGUUAUCUGAGCCGGGUCCUGAUUAAAAGGGACAUUUGAGGGCGUUAGUACUUGGCGGCGAGAGGUGAAAUUCUUAGACCCGUCAAAGACUCACUGAUGCGAAAGCAUUCGCCAAGAAUGUUUNCAUUG
Molecule: ribosomal RNA, 372 nt
Filed under: uncultured eukaryote
Lineage: Eukaryota
Description: partial 18S ribosomal RNA
Rfam family: Eukaryotic small subunit ribosomal RNA
Source: RNAcentral